GCCUCUCUCUUUCUCUUUCUCUCUCUCUCUCUCUGCCUCCAUCCCUCCUCUCUUUCCUUCUCCCCCACCUCUGUGUGAUUGUAGGUGAUAAUCUCUCAACAUCAAGAGGUUAUCCAGGAGAUCUCAUGUAUAGAUUGAAGAGGAGGAUAAAAAGGCUUCCAAGUCAGCUGGGACAGAGAUGCCAACACAAAGGCCUAAUGGAAGGAAUAUGUUUGCUUCUAAUUUAGAAUAAGAAAAACUGCACGCACAGAUCAAACCC
RNAcentral lists this long non-coding RNA (259 nucleotides) under Fukomys damarensis (Damara mole-rat). RNAcentral's name for it is "lncRNA (ENSFDAG00000028816.1)". The record is from RNAcentral. Lineage: Eukaryota; Metazoa; Chordata; Mammalia; Rodentia; Bathyergidae.